This 1149-nucleotide ribosomal RNA is filed under the name uncultured fungus. Its description in RNAcentral is "eukaryotic LSU rRNA". The stretch from base 528 to 1149 matches the Rfam family "Eukaryotic large subunit ribosomal RNA", at positions 1 to 649 of the family's 3401-position model. The record is from RNAcentral. Lineage: Eukaryota; Fungi.
AAGUCGUAACAAGGUCUCCGUUGGUGAACCAGCGGAGGGAUCAUUACAGAGUUGCAAAACUCCCAAACCAUUGUGAACGUCACCUAAUCGUUGCUUCGGCGGGGGGCUCUUAACCGGGCCGCGCCUGAGCCCCCUAGGGGGCCGGGCAGCCCGCCGGAGGCGUACCAACUCUCGAUAUCUUAUGGCAUCUCUGAGUAGCUUACAAAAUAAGUUAAAACUUUCAACAACGGAUCUCUUGGUUCUGGCAUCGAUGAAGAACGCAGCGAAAUGCGAUAAGUAAUGUGAAUUGCAGAAUUCAGUGAAUCAUCGAAUCUUUGAACGCACAUUGCGCCCGCUAGUAUUCUGGCGGGCAUGCCUGUUCGAGCGUCAUUUCAACCAUCAAGCCCUUGGCUUGUGUUGGGGGCCUGCGGCUGCCGCAGCUCCCGAAAUGCAGUGGCGGGCUCGUUGUCACACCGAGUGCAGUAAUUAUUCUUCUCUCCGGGCGUGGCGGCGGGUUCCGGCCGUGAAACCAUCAAACUUAUCAAGGUUGACCUCGGAUCAGGUAGGAAUACCCGCUGAACUUAAGCAUAUCAAUAAGCGGAGGAAAAGAAACCAACAGGGAUUGCCCUAGUAACGGCGAGUGAAGCGGCAACAGCUCAAAUUUGAAAUCUGGCUUCGGCCCGAGUUGUAAUUUGCAGAGGAAGCUUCUGGUGCGGCACUGUCCGAGUCCCCUGGAACGGGGCGCCAUAGAGGGUGAGAGCCCCGUAUGGAUGGAUGCUUAUCCUGUGUGAAGCUCCUUCGACGAGUCGAGUAGUUUGGGAAUGCUGCUCAAAAUGGGAGGUAAAUUCCUUCUAAAGCUAAAUACCGGCCAGAGACCGAUAGCGCACAAGUAGAGUGAUCGAAAGAUGAAAAGCACUUUGAAAAGAGGGUUAAACAGCACGUGAAAUUGUUGAAAGGGAAGCGCUUGUGACCAGACUUGCGCCAGGCUGAUCAUCCGGUGUUCUCACCGGUGCACUCUGCCUGGCUCAGGCCAGCAUCGGUUUUCGCGGGGGGACAAAGGUCCCGGGAAUGUAGCUCCUCCGGGAGUGUUAUAGCCCGGGGCGUAAUGCCCUCGCGGGGACCGAGGUUCGCGCAUCUGCAAGGAUGCUGGCGUAAUGGUCAUCAGCGACC